UCCUGGUGGCUGAGAUGGUAAAGAAUCCACCUGCAAUGUGGGAGACCUGGGUUCGAUCCCUGGGUCAGGAA
This 71-nucleotide transfer RNA is filed under the name Bos taurus (domestic cattle). It matches the Rfam family "tRNA". Rfam says of the family: Transfer RNA (tRNA) molecules are approximately 80 nucleotides in length. Their secondary structure includes four short double-helical elements and three loops (D, anti-codon, and T loops). The record is from Rfam by way of RNAcentral. Lineage: Eukaryota; Metazoa; Chordata; Mammalia; Artiodactyla; Bovidae. RNAcentral also lists the same sequence under 1 other name.